AUGAACGCUGGCGGCGUGCCUCAUCCAUGCAAGUCGAGCGAACAGACGAGGAGCUUGCUCCUCCGACGUUAGCGGCGGACGGGUGAGUAACACGUGGAUAACCUACCUAUAAGACUGGGAUAACUUCGGGAAACCGGAGCUAAUACCGGAUAAUAUAUUGAACCGCAUGGUUCAAUAGUGAAAGACGGUUUUGCUGUCACUUAUAGAUGGAUCCGCGCCGCAUUAGCUAGUUGGUAAGGUAACGGCUUACCAAGGCAACGAUGCGUAGCCGACCUGAGAGGGUGAUCGGCCACACUGGAACUGAGACACGGUCCAGACUCCUACGGGAGGCAGCAGUAGGGAAUCUUCCGCAAUGGGCGAAAGCCUGACGGAGCAACGCCGCGUGAGUGAUGAAGGUCUUCGGAUCGUAAAACUCUGUUAUUAGGGAAGAACAAAUGUGUAAGUAACUAUGCACGUCUUGACGGUACCUAAUCAGAAAGCCACGGCUAACUACGUG
Molecule: ribosomal RNA, 496 nt
Filed under: uncultured bacterium
Lineage: Bacteria
Description: partial 16S ribosomal RNA
Rfam family: Bacterial small subunit ribosomal RNA
Source: RNAcentral